This 254-nucleotide ribosomal RNA is filed under the name uncultured bacterium. RNAcentral describes it as "partial 16S ribosomal RNA". It matches the Rfam family "Bacterial small subunit ribosomal RNA", at positions 524 to 776 of the family's 1533-position model. The record is from RNAcentral.
UACGUAGGGGGCAAGCGUUGUCCGGAUUCAUUGGGCGUAAAGAGCUCGUAGGCGGCUUGGCAAGUCGGGUGUGAAAACUCCAGGCUCAACCUGGAGACGCCACCCGAUACUGCUAUGGCUUGAGUCCGGUAGGGGACCACGGAAUUCCUGGUGUAGCGGUGAAAUGCGCAGAUAUCAGGAGGAACACCGGUGGCGAAGGCGGUGGUCUGGGCCGGAACUGACGCUGAGGAGCGAAAGCGUGGGGAGCGAACAGG